RNAcentral lists this long non-coding RNA (649 nucleotides) under Triticum aestivum (bread wheat). RNAcentral describes it as "long non-coding RNA (TAES_LNC024800)". Lineage: Eukaryota; Viridiplantae; Streptophyta; Magnoliopsida; Poales; Poaceae. The record is from RNAcentral.
AAGGCCAGUGACGCCAAGAAGAAACAAAUAGGCGAGGGUGAGGAGAAUGGCGAGGAUGAUGAGGAAGAACAAGAGGAGCAGGAAGGUGGAGGAGGUGACGACGAUGAUGACGACGACGACGACGAUGACAAUGAGGACGAUGACGAUGAUGACGAUGAAGUCGCUGCUGAAGACGAUGAGGAUGGAGUAGAAGAGGAGGAUGACGACCAGGACAACGACAAUGACGAGGAGGACGACGACGAGGACUCGCUCCAGCCCCCGAAGAAGAGGAAGAAGUGAAGCCCUUCGACGCGGCUGCUUUAGUCACCAUGCGAUGAGAUGUGCCUGUUCUUCACUGUGUUCUGGAAACUUUCCUUAGAGUUAAAAAUGCCCCACACGAUCACAAUGUGUGGGCUUGUAGGAGCGAUUAGAGGGAACUUUGUUGUCAUCGUUGUUUUGCUUCUGUGGAGUUGAUCGAACAGAUGUUUCGCUAACAUAAUUGUACCCGAGUGGCGAAAGCCUCAAGAUUUGAAUAUGUCAGUCAACUCUUUUUAUCUCCUUCCGGCAUCGUUCUGUGCAAUCUUGUUCAGAACACAUUGUGUUGGUAGCUCCUUAAAUAAGGCCAAAUCACAUUGUUGAUAGCUCCUGGAUUUAUCGUGGGUGCUGUCUG